UAACAUUUUAUUUGAUGUCACCGUUGGUUUUAAAAAAAGUGUAACUGAAAAGUGAAAUGUUUGAGCGGCUAGAAUGAAAACAAGCGGGCGGGAGAUUGAGAAAUAUAUAAUUAAACACAAAAUAUGUCGGGGAAAUAAUACACAGUUGUGCCUUGUCCUAAAUCUAAACUAACUAAAAACAAAAUUCAAACUCAAACACAAACUUCAGCUCCUCUCUCAUUUCACUCACCACAACCCAACUCCCUCACCUUACCUCUCGACCCCGCCUCAAACUCAAACACCCACCUCAAACUCACCUCCAUCAUCUCUCUAAAAAUCGCCCACCCACGCACUCAACACAACUCGCCCAUUCUCCAAACACAUUCAAUCGGGCCUACAUUCGGAUCUACAAUCAGGGUUUGCACACUCACACGGAACUUCACUCUCAAUAGGGUUGCAAUUAGGUCUGGAAUCGAGUCUUCAAUUCGGGUUUUCAUUUGGGUUUUCUAUAGGGUCUUGUAUCGGGUCUAAAAGACGCAAGCGGGUUUCAAUUACGGGUGUUUCAAACUCUCCAUCGGGCAUCUGCGUUGGGAUUUUGGGGCUUUUGUCAGGGUCUUCUGAUUAGGGUUUUUGGUGUUUCUCAUUUUAGGGAUUCUGUUAGGCCUAUCUCAAUUAGGUAUUGUGGUUUAUUUAUAUUCUCAAUCAGGGAGAAAAAUGCAAAUUUACUCAUCAUACAAUACCAUUGACAAUGUCUAAGGCUUAUCUCCGCGAGCUAAGAACACAAGGAAUCAUGUAAAGGAACUACCUCAAAAAAUUUCUUAUUUUUGGAUUCUUCGGAUGUUUUCGGCGGUUUCUUGAGAACAAGUUUCUCUUCUUGUACUUUCUCAGGUUCUUGAAAACUUUUUAGCUUCUGUACAGACCAAAUAGAGUGUGCUGUGUUAUUAACAUAUAAGUUAAGAAAUUCAGACUGAGUUGAAAGAAUUUGGAAUUAUGCAAAUGAACUACUACCUCAAUAAAUUUUUGAUUCUUUGAUCCUUGAACUGUUUCUUGUUGUUUCUUGAGAACAGGUGUCUCUGUUUCUUUCUUGAGAGCAGGUGUGUCUUCCAAACAACAGUGUGAUCAAUGAGCUGCAUUGCCGUAGCAGCCAGACAGCCACUGCAGUAUUGCAUAAAAGGACAAAUCGUUAAAGCACAGAAACACAGUCAUAGACAGGUUGCGAAUAUUCUUACCAAACGCUCAACCUCCACAGGUUGCGAAGGCAGUCUUUUAUUUUGGCUAAUAACGGAGGAAGGUGACAUGAAUUAAGUUAGGGUGGCUGUCAAUAUACGUCGAAGAUUGUUUCUCCAGCUCUAGCAUUUGCUUGCCCCUGUUGGAUAAGCUAGUUCCAGAUGACAAACUCCGACCCUCCUUUGGUUGAACAAGCAUACUUGCUAGUUGAUAGUGAACUUAUUUUGCCCCAAAAGGAGGAAAUUGUAGAGGACCUAAGUUAGUUUUAGUUUAUGUCCUAGUACUUAUAUUGGUGUGUUUGCUGGUUUGUAUAGGCUUGUACCUUUGUUUUUGGUAUUUUGAUUGUGUUUGUUGCUGAAUAUUGUUUGGUAACUUUGAAAUGGGAA
This is a long non-coding RNA of Daucus carota subsp. sativus, 1592 nucleotides long. RefSeq lists it as uncharacterized. Lineage: Eukaryota; Viridiplantae; Streptophyta; Magnoliopsida; Apiales; Apiaceae. The transcript has 4 exons. The record is from RefSeq and is a predicted model, not a curated record.